ACAGAAACAGAUUCUACCACUGCAUCUCGUAUAAUACGAUAUUUAUCCACUCUCGACAGUUAAAUUUUAAAUAUUUAAAUUUGAAAAUUUAACAUUCUCGAGUGGAUAAAUAUCGUAUCACACUCGAUGCAGUGGUAGAAUCUAUAUAUAU
This 151-nucleotide small RNA is filed under the name Mytilus galloprovincialis (Mediterranean mussel). Lineage: Eukaryota; Metazoa; Mollusca; Bivalvia; Mytilida; Mytilidae. The record is from RNAcentral.